RNAcentral lists this transfer RNA (71 nucleotides) under Vazella pourtalesii. RNAcentral's name for it is "tRNA-Phe". It matches the Rfam family "tRNA". Rfam says of the family: Transfer RNA (tRNA) molecules are approximately 80 nucleotides in length. Their secondary structure includes four short double-helical elements and three loops (D, anti-codon, and T loops). The record is from RNAcentral. Lineage: Eukaryota; Metazoa; Porifera; Hexactinellida; Lyssacinosida; Rossellidae.
GUCCCAGAAACUCAACUCAGAGUAAUAUUUUGAAAAAAUAUAAGCUGCAGGUUCAAAUCCUGUCUAGGACA